GAUGAACGCUGGCGGCGUGCCUAAUACAUGCAAGUAGAACGCUGAAGGAAGGAGCUUGCUCUUUCCGGAUGAGUUGCGAACGGGUGAGUAACGCGUAGGUAACCUGCCUGGUAGCGGGGGAUAACUAUUGGAAACGAUAGCUAAUACCGCAUAACAGUAGAUGUUGCAUGACAACUAUUUGAAAGGGGCAAUUGCUCCACUACCAGAUGGACCUGCGUUGUAUUAGCUAGUUGGUGAGGUAACGGCUCACCAAGGCGAUGAUACAUAGCCGACCUGAGAGGGUGAUCGGCCACACUGGGACUGAGACACGGCCCAGACUCCUACGGGAGGCAGCAGUAGGGAAUCUUCGGCAAUGGACGGAAGUCUGACCGAGCAACGCCGCGUGAGUGAAGAAGGUUUUCGGAUCGUAAAGCUCUGUUGUAAGAGAAGAACGAGUGUGAGAGUGGAAAGUUCACACUGUGACGGUAUCUUACCAGAAAGGGACGGCUAACUACGUG
This 497-nucleotide ribosomal RNA is filed under the name uncultured bacterium. RNAcentral's name for it is "partial 16S ribosomal RNA". It matches the Rfam family "Bacterial small subunit ribosomal RNA", at positions 28 to 507 of the family's 1533-position model. The record is from RNAcentral.